AUAAACACGUUGAUGAGGACAGUAAGCUAAAAUCUUAUUUUUCAGAGAGAGAAUAUGUUGGUGCGAUUAUUCUUAUAUAAAUUUAGACUGAAAACCACCUCUGAGUGGCCCUAAUAAAGCCCGUAAUUAUCACGUUACGAUAAAUUCAAGUGACCUAUUUAACUGAUUUUUAAAAAGGUUUUUAAUGUUUAUUUUAUUUGACCUAUUUUAAUCAGUCUGUUCUAGGUAAUUAGAGUGGAACCACGGAUAUUACUUCGUCUCUAUU
This 265-nucleotide non-coding RNA is filed under the name Clostridium beijerinckii. RNAcentral describes it as "T-box sequence". It matches the Rfam family "T-box leader". Rfam says of the family: Uncharged tRNA acts as the effector for transcription antitermination of genes in the T-box leader family. T-boxes are found upstream of many aminoacyl-tRNA synthetase genes and some amino acid biosynthetic genes usually in Gram-positive bacteria. The record is from RNAcentral. Lineage: Bacteria; Bacillati; Bacillota; Clostridia; Eubacteriales; Clostridiaceae.